CCUACGGGGGGCUGCAGUGGGGAAUAUUGGACAAUGGGGGCAACCCUGAUCCAGCCAUGCCGCGUGAGUGAUGAAGGCCUUAGGGUUGUAAAGCUCUUUCGGCGGGGAAGAUGAUGACGGUACCCGCAGAAGAAGCCUCGGCUAACUCCGUGCCAGCAGCCGCGGUAAGACGGAGGAGGCUAGCGUUGUUCGGAAUUACUGGGCGUAAAGCGCACGCAGGUGGCGAUACAAGUCGGGUGUGAAAGCCCGGGGCUCAACCCCGGAUGUGCAUUCGA
Molecule: ribosomal RNA, 275 nt
Filed under: uncultured bacterium
Lineage: Bacteria
Description: partial 16S ribosomal RNA
Rfam family: Bacterial small subunit ribosomal RNA
Source: RNAcentral